Nomascus leucogenys (northern white-cheeked gibbon) is the source of this 8128-nucleotide RNA transcript. It is a transcript of the gene named plexin C1, with no coding region annotated. The transcript is spliced from 29 exons. NCBI's taxonomy places the organism in Eukaryota, Metazoa, Chordata, Mammalia, Primates, Hylobatidae. The record is from RefSeq and is a predicted model, not a curated record.
CCGUUGCCGCGCGCCUGAGCCGCCGUCGCCGCCGCGCGCCCUGCCCGGGGGCGGCCCCCCCAGCCCCAUGGAGGUCUCCCGGAGGAAGGCGCCGCCGCGCCCCCCGCGCCCCGCAGCGCCGCUGCCCCUGCUCGCCUAUCUGCUAGCACUGGCGGCUCCCAGCCGGGGCGCGGACGAGCCCGUGUGGCGGUCGGAGCAAGCCAUCGGAGCCAUCGCGGCGAGCCGGGAGGACGGCGUGUUUGUGGCGAGCGGCAGCUGCCUGGACCAGCUGGACUACAGCCUGGAGCACAGCCUCUCGCGCCUGUACCGGGACCAAGCAGGCAACUGCACGGAGCCGGUCUCGCUGGCGCCCCCCGCGCGGCCCCGGCCCGGGAGCAGCUUCAGCAAGCUGCUGCUGCCCUACCGCGAGGGGGCGGCCGGCCUCGGGGGGCUGCUGCUCACCGGCUGGACCUUCGACCGGGGCGCCUGCGAGGUGCGGCCCCUGGGCAACCUGAGCCGCAGCUCCCUGCGCAACGGCACCGAGGUGGUGUCGUGCCACCCGCAGGGCUCGACGGCCGGCGUGGUGUACCGCGCGGGCCUGAACAACCGCUGGUACCUGGCGGUGGCCGCCACCUACGUGCUGCCUGAGCCGGAGACGGCGAGCCGCUGCAACCCUGCGGCAUCCGACCACGACACGGCCAUCGCGCUCAAGGACACGGAGGGGCGCAGCCUAGCCACGCAGGAGCUGGGCCGCCUCAAGCUGUGCGAGGGCGCGGGCAGCCUGCACUUCGUGGACGCCUUUCUCUGGAACGGCAGCAUCUACUUCCCCUACUACCCCUACAACUACACGAGCGGCGCUGCCACCGGCUGGCCCAGCAUGGCGCGCAUCGCGCAGAGCACCGAGGUGCUGUUCCAGGGCCAGGCAUCCCUCGACUGCGGCCACGGCCACCCCGACGGCCGCCGCCUGCUCCUGUCCUCCAGCCUAGUGGAGGCCCUGGAUGUCUGGGCGGGAGUGUUCAGCGCGGCCGCUGGAGAGGGCCAGGAGCGGCGCUCCCCCACCACCACGGCGCUCUGCCUCUUCAGGAUGAGUGAGAUCCAGGCGCGCGCCAAGAGGGUCAGCUGGGACUUCAAGACGGCCGAGAGCCACUGCAAAGAAGGGGAUCAACCUGAAAGAGUCCAACCAAUCGCAUCAUCUACCUUGAUCCAUUCCGACCUGACAUCGGUUUAUGGCACCGUGGUAAUGAACAGGACUGUUUUAUUCUUGGGGACUGGAGAUGGCCAGUUACUUAAGGUUAUUCUUGGUGAGAAUUUGACUUCAAAUUGUCCAGAGGUUAUCUAUGAAAUUAAAGAAGAGACACCUGUUUUCUACAAACUCGUUCCUGAUCCUGUGAAGAAUAUCUACAUUUAUCUAACAGCUGGGAAAGAGGUGAGGAGAAUUCGUGUUGCAAACUGCAAUAAACAUAAAUCCUGUUCGGAGUGUUUAACAGCCACAGACCCUCACUGCGGUUGGUGCCAUUCGCUACAAAGGUGCACUUUUCAAGGAGAUUGUGUACAUUCAGAGAACUUAGAAAACUGGCUGGAUAUUUCGUCUGGAGCAAAAAAGUGCCCCAAAAUUCAGAUAAUUCGAAGCAGUAAAGACAAGACUACAGUGACUAUGGUGGGAAGCUUCUCUCCAAGACACUCAAAGUGCAUGGUGAAGAAUGUGGACUCUAGCAGGGAGCUCUGCCAGAAUAAAAGUCAGCCCAACCGGACCUGCACCUGUAGCAUCCCAACCAGAGCAACCUACAAAGAUGUUUCAGUUGUCAACGUGAUGUUCUCCUUUGGUUCUUGGAAUUUAUCAGACAGAUUCAACUUUACCAACUGCUCAUCAUUAAAAGAAUGCCCAGCAUGCGUAGAAACUGGCUGCGCGUGGUGUAAAAGUGCAAGAAGGUGUAUCCACCCCUUCACAGCUUGCGACCCUUCUGAUUAUGAGAGAAACCAGGAACAGUGUCCAGUGGCUGUCGAGAAGACAUCAGGAGGAGGAAGAACCAAGGAGAACAAGGGGAACAGAACCAACCAGGCUUUACAGGUCUUCUACAUUAAGUCCAUUGAGCCACAGAAAGUAUCGACAUUAGGGAAAAGCAACGUGAUAGUAACGGGAGCAAACUUUACCCAGGCAUCGAACAUCACAAUGAUCCUGAAAGGAACCAGUACCUGUGAUAAGGAUGUGAUACAGGUUAGCCAUGUGCUAAAUGACACCCACAUGAAAUUCUCUCUUCCAUCAAGCCGGAAAGAAAUGAAGGAUGUGUGUAUCCAGUUUGAUGGUGGGAACUGCUCUUCUGUAGGAUCCUUAUCCUACAUUGCUCUGCCACAUUGUUCCCUUAUAUUUCCUGCUACCACCUGGAUCAGUGGUGGUCAAAAUAUAACCAUGAUGGGCAGAAAUUUUGAUGUAAUUGACAACUUAAUCAUUUCACAUGAAUUAAAAGGAAACAUAAAUGUGUCUGAAUAUUGUGUGGCGACUUACUGCGGGUUUUUAGCCCCCAGUUUAAAGAGUUCAAAAGUACGCACAAAUGUCACUGUGAAGCUGAGAGUACAAGACACCUACUUGGACUGUGGAACCCUGCAGUAUCGGGAGGACCCCAGAUUCACAGGGUAUCGGGUGGAAUCUGAGGUGGACACAGAACUGGAAGUGAAAAUUCAAAAAGAAAAUGACAACUUCAACAUUUCCAAAAAAGACAUUGAAAUUACUCUCUUCCAUGGGGAAAAUGGGCAAUUAAAUUGCAGUUUUGAAAAUAUUACUAGAAAUCAAGAUCUCACCACCAUCCUUUGCAAAAUUAAAGGCAUCAAGACUGCAAGCACCAUUGCCAACUCUUCUAAGAAAGUUCGGGUCAAGCUGGGAAACCUGGAGCUCUAUGUCGAGCAGGAGUCAGUUCCUUCCACGUGGUAUUUUCUGAUUGUGCUCCCUGUCUUGCUAGUGAUUGUCAUCUUUGCGGCCGUGGGGGUGACCAGGCACAAAUCGAAGGAGCUGAGUCGCAAACAGAGCCAACAACUAGAAUUGCUGGAAAGCGAGCUCCGGAAAGAGAUACGUGAUGGCUUUGCUGAGCUGCAGAUGGAUAAAUUGGAUGUGGUUGAUAGUUUUGGAACUGUUCCCUUCCUUGACUACAAACAUUUUGCUCUGAGAACUUUCUUCCCUGAGUCAGGUGGCUUCACCCACAUCUUCACUGAAGAUAUGCAUAACAGAGACGCCAACGACAAGAAUGAAAGUCUCACGGCUUUGGAUGCCCUAAUCUGUAAUAAAAGCUUUCUUGUUACUGUCAUCCACACUCUUGAAAAGCAGAAGAACUUUUCUGUGAAGGACAGGUGUCUGUUUGCCUCCUUCCUAACCAUUGCACUGCAAACCAAGCUGGUCUACCUGACCAGCAUCCUAGAGGUGCUGACCAGGGACUUGAUGGAACAGUGUAGUAACAUGCAGCCGAAACUCAUGCUGAGACGCACGGAAUCCGUGGUCGAAAAACUCCUCACAAACUGGAUGUCCGUCUGCCUUUCUGGUUUUCUUCGGGAGACUGUUGGAGAGCCCUUCUAUUUGCUGGUGACGACUCUGAACCAGAAAAUUAACAAGGGUCCCGUGGAUGUAAUCACUUGCAAAGCCCUGUACACACUUAAUGAAGACUGGCUGUUGUGGCAGGUUCCGGAAUUCAGUACUGUGGCAUUAAACGUCGUCUUUGAAAAAAUCCCGGAAAACGAGAGUGCAGAUGUCUGUCGGAAUAUUUCAGUCAAUGUUCUCGACUGUGACACCAUUGGCCAAGCCAAAGAAAAGAUUUUCCAAGCAUUCUUAAGCAAAAAUGGCUCUCCUUAUGGACUUCAGCUUAAUGAAAUUGGUCUUGAGCUUCAAGUGGGCACACGACAGAAAGAACUUCUGGACAUCGACAGUUCCUCUGUGAUUCUUGAAGAUGGAAUCACCAAGCUAAACACCAUUGGCCACUAUGAGAUAUCAAAUGGAUCCACUAUAAAAGUCUUUAAGAAGAUAGCAAAUUUUACUUCAGAUGUGGAAUACUCAGAUGACCACUGCCAUUUGAUUUUACCAGAUUCGGAAGCAUUCCAAGAUGUGCAAGGAAAGAGACAUCGAGGGAAGCAUAAGUUCAAAGUAAAAGAAAUGUAUCUGACAAAGCUGCUGUCGACCAAGCCUUCCUCUUCGCUUCUGGGUAAACAUCCUGAAGAACCCUCAGUUUGUCUUUGACAUUAAGAAGACACCACAUAUAGACGGCUGUUUGUCAGUGAUUGCCCAGGCAUUCAUGGAUGCAUUUUCUCUCACAGAGCAGCAACUAGGGAAGGAAGCACCAACUAAUAAGCUUCUCUAUGCCAAGGAUAUCCCAACCUACAAAGAAGAAGUAAAAUCUUAUUACAAAGCAAUCAGGGAUUUGCCUCCAUUGUCAUCCUCAGAAAUGGAAGAAUUUUUAACUCAGGAAUCUAAGAAACACGAAAAUGAAUUUAAUGAAGAAGUGGCCUUGACAGAAAUUUACAAAUACAUCGUAAAAUAUUUUGAUGAGGUAAGAUUUUAAAUAACAUUGUUUUUAACCUUUGAAUCAGGCACAAGGAUGUGGUUAUAGCAUUCUGUCAGUUUCAGAACAGCUCUGGCAUCCCAAAAGGCCAGAAAGGGAAGCCAGGAAGCCUGUCUGAGAUGGGGGAUCCUGGCACCGAGCCAGACCCUGCACAUGGCUGCCCCUCUUACAGUUUUAUCAUGCUGACCACAUUUGGACCAGCCUGAAUUUACAUUUGAGUUCAUGGGGCCUACAGUCACACUGAUUCAAGUUAACUUUGAUGAGUAAGUAGUGGCUCUAUUAAAUGGGGUCAGCUUAUGCCUGAUUGCUAAAAAUGAAAGCUAAGCUUGUUAAAUUGCCUAGAUUCUGUGUUCAAUCGUUAUAUGAAAUUAUGACAUAUUUCUAACUUAAGCGACUAUUUCAAUAAACCAUUCUCCUUUAUGAUUAAUUCUCCUUAAUCUGGGUUUUUUUUCUUUGGAAAUUCAAACAGACACAUUCAUCAGAUGCUUUGUUUCCAAACAAAUGUUAACUCCCCCUUCCCUGAUUCCCCCCCAAUCAUGCUGGGACAGGCUAUCCAUGUCAAUGGUGAGAAUAGCUCACCAAUUCCAUUUGCUACUUGAAGAUGAAGUGAAGCUCUAAGGUAGGGUAGAGGCAAUGAGUUCUUAAACAUGAUAAGCAUCCCUCGUUCCAGGGGUCAGGGGAGAGAAGGGAAGCACGAGGAGGGACUACACUGCCCAGAUGGGAGGGAAGGGAAGGAUCUCUCUCUGACCAGGAUGUCCCUGCCUGCUGCAUUUAAGGAGAAAUACUUGCCUGCAUGUUGGCUGCCCAGGAAUGCUUGCUGUGCUUGGAAUGGCUGUGACAUAAUGCAUAAAGCAGGGCCUUGGAAGCCUGGCCCCAUAUUUGUAAGCAAAUAGUUGGUAUUUCUUGCGAGCUUCUAUUUUAAGCCAAGGUAUUGUUGAUCCUGUGAUAAGGACUUAGCAAAACAACUUGCAAAGUGAGUAUGUAAAUGAUGGAAGAAAAUGUUGGCAUCUGUUUCAUACAGAUUUUACCACUCAUAGCAUCAGGUAUGCAAAAAACAGAAUUGUAAUGCUAAAACCACAAUAUCUAAAAUAACUGUUCUAAUUGUCAACAGAUUCUAAAUAAACUAGAAAGAGAACGAGGGCUGGAAGAAGCUCAGAAACAACUCUUGCAUGUAAAAGUCUUAUUUGAUGAAAAGAAGAAAUGCAAGUGGAUGUAAGCACUCUGGGGCCUGGCUUAAUCUGGCAAAGUUCUUCAGACGACUUGGGAGCAAAGUGGCUGCUUGAGCUACUCUGUGUCGUUAAUUUCUUGUUUGCACAUAGGUUCCACUUUGGGCACUGUCUUUUUAAGAGACCAAGGCACAUGCACAGCUUUUAGAAAGCAUACCAACCAUUGUGCCUGUGUGUAUACCGUGGGAACCCUUCUGUAAAUAGAGUUGAAGUGGUUGUUGCAAACAGCCUCCUUGUUUACAGAGAAUACAGGGCCAGUAAGCGAAUGUCAGUAUUGUUAACUACAGUCUCCACUUAAGCACAAUGAUAUAAGUGGUUUUGUUUGAAAACUACAGCUAUGUAGCACUUGUGCUACACUGCACCUCUGCAUUGUAAAGGGAUACUGCCAGUGCUCAAACAAAAUGUGAAAUGAGUCAUUUGGAAACAAGGUGGGGGUGUUAGGGCAACCUCGAGGAUUUGCAGCAUUGAAACUUUCCCCAGUAGUUCUUGGAAAAGCUGACCGCAGAAUUUGGUAGUGUACACUUAGCAUUUGUGAGUGUGUGUGUGUGUUUAAACCAAAAACUAACAGUGUUGCAACAUUGUUGAAAGGGCUCGUGUUUUUCAGUGGUCAUCAACUGCACUCCAUCAAGCUCACCUCCAUUUCGCCAAGGAGCUCUAAAGUAAGGAGAGUGGGCUUUAUUUAAAUGAACAGCAUUUUAACCAGAUACUUUGUCCUAAUGUAUGUUCCUUUUCUUCAUCUAUUUUUUCAUACUACAUGUAUUUGAUAGUGGACAUGUUGGAUAUUAUACAAAAAAACAUUAAUUCAUUUCUGUUCCAAAACCUUUGAUCAGAAAACGAUCUGUGGAAGAGUAACUCCAUUUCUAUAUGAGUGUCUCCUUGCUUUAGAUUUCUGGUGAACCCUGUGGUUAUGAAUACUUGUGUGUGAUUUAAAAAAAAAAAAGAUACAUUUUACAUUUCAUCGAAUUGCUGUUCACACUGGAGUAUUAUAUAUAAAUAUAUAUAUUUGAGGCCCAAGGCCUGAAAAAUAUUAGUAUACAACUUGGUAUCUUAGUCUUACUAUGUACUUUUUGAAAGUAUUCCUCGCAGGAGAAAGAAUUAUAAAAUACCCAUUUUAUUCAUGCCUUUCUUUUUAAAGAAUUCUCUAUCCAGUUAUACUGUAGUCUUUUUAGUGCUGAUUUUUUAUUCCUGAAUUUUUGCUGCUCAUGACCAGUUUUAAUACCACUGUGUUUUCCUUCUAUUAAACCAGAAGAAGUAAACAGCAUAAUUGGCAACCCUUGAGCUUUUCUUGUGGCAGGCACCUUUUACCCUUGGUGCUCCAAAUCCCCCAUCUAGGAAAGAAAUUUUUUCAAGUCAAAUAACAUCGAUCACAUAUUCCUUGAAAUCAUUUACCAACACUGUAUGGAGCAUUAGGAUUUAAAUAUGAGCUUGUCUUAAAGGCAAUUACUUUUUGCUUCUGUAUUAUCUGGAAAAGCAUGAGAAAGGUGACACCUCAACAAACUGAUCAGAGAAAAUAAGCAGUUACUACCCUGAUAGGCACCUUCCCAAUCCUGUUGCUUUUGACCAUUGUCUGUCCAACGGACACACCUCAAACAAACAAAACUACCAAAUAGAUGACAGAUCAGAAUAAAGGUGAGAGGUCUGGUCCCCAUCUAAGGCUGCUACAGUCUUCAAAGAAGUGAAGGAGUUCAUAAGAGAACAACAGUAGGAGAGUUGAGAGCCAAGGGUAGGAGAGUUGCCCAAAAGACUUCCCCUUCUUUAGGGUACUGAAAACUCAACUCAAAGGAUCAGCUACAGCUUUAUCUAAGUAUUUACUAAAUGCUACAUGAGGGUGUCCCUGUCCAGCUUUCUGGCACAUGAGUCCUGUGUGGAGAGUUACCUCCUCUUCCAGGGACUGUGCUGUUGGGAACUUUGGGCAAGUCACUUACCUCUUUGUGCCUCAAUUUCUGUAUAAUAUUGCUAAGCUACCUCACUGAGGUGGUAUGAAGAUUCACUAAUGUAUGUAGCGUGUUUGUCAAUCCUCCAGUGAAAAGCACUAUCUAGAUCACAUUUUGGAUCACAUUAGCCAAAUGCAGUAAAUGGCCAAAUUAGAUGUGUGCUGAAGACAAUCAAUCAGUCACUGGGUCUAUAUUAAACAGCAACCAGAGCAACAAAUGGCAAACAAUUUCUAUUUUCAAGUUUCUUUGCAUAUUUUUUUGGUGCAAAACAAUUCAUUUAUAAACUUUUUUUUCUAACAAACACUAGUGUCUACAGCAGCAUUUAAAAAAUUCUGUUACCUUUUCUGUAUUAGGAUUUAAAGUCUAUUUCUUAUUGUAUACCUGAUUGAAGCUGUUCUUGGAGAUGAAUGUUUUAAAUGUCUAUAUCCAAAAAAUAAACAUUUUGAUGUAA